AGAGUUUGAUCCUGGCUCAGGACGAACGCUGGCGGCGUGCCUAAUACAUGCAAGUAGAACGCUGAAGGAGGAGCUUGCUUCUCUGGAUGAGUUGCGAACGGGUGAGUAACGCGUAGGUAACCUGCCUGGUAGCGGGGGAUAACUAUUGGAAACGAUAGCUAAUACCGCAUAAGAGUAGAUGUUGCAUGACAUUUGCUUAAAAGGUGCAAAUGCAUCACUACCAGAUGGACCUGCGUUGUAUUAGCUAGUUGGUGGGGUAAGGGCUCACCAAGGCGACGAUACAUAGCCGACCUGAGAGGGUGAUCGGCCACACUGGGACUGAGACACGGCCCAGACUCCUACGGGAGGCAGCAGUAGGGAAUCUUCGGCAAUGGACGGAAGUCUGACCGAGCAACGCCGCGUGAGUGAAGAAGGUUUUCGGAUCGUAAAGCUCUGUUGUAAGAGAAGAACGAGUGUGAGAGUGGAAAGUUCACACUGUGACGGUAUCUUACCAGAAAGGGACGGCUAACUACGUGCCAGCAGCCGCGGUAAUACGUAGGUCCCGAGCGUUGUCCGGAUUUAUUGGGCGUAAAGCGAGCGCAGGCGGUUAGAUAAGUCUGAAGUUAAAGGCUGUGGCUUAACCAUAGUAGGCUUUGGAAACUGUUUAACUUGAGUGCAAGAGGGGAGAGUGGAAUUCCAUGUGUAGCGGUGAAAUGCGUAGAUAUAUGGAGGAACACCGGUGGCGAAAGCGGCUCUCUGGCUUGUAACUGACGCUGAGGCUCGAAAGCGUGGGGAGCAAACAGGAUUAGAUACCCUGGUAGUCCACGCUGUAAACGAUGAGUGCUAGGUGUUAGACCCUUUCCGGGGUUUNUUUCCUUUCUGUUGAUAGGCUAGUAACAGACGAUUGAUUUGUCUUUCAGAAAGAUUGAGUUCGACACAGGCCCGUUUCUUUGUUUUCUUUCCUUGGGCUAUAGCUUUUAUCACAAGAUAUUUUUUCGUUUCAUUCAUAUUCAGUUGGAUCCUUUUCAUAUGACUAUUCUACCAAAUGUGACAUUUUCACGUUCGAUUUACUAAAGACAUUAUCACAUUCGAAUCACAACACAAAUAAAAAAUCUUCCAAUUCCCUUGCAAAAAACAAGAAAGUGUGAUAACAUAGUACGGUAUGUGGUGCUAGCACAUCCGCUAUAUUAGAUCUAAUAGGAGGAAAACACAAUGGCUAAAGUAUGUUACUUUACAGGUCGUAAGACUGUAUCAGGAAACAACCGUUCACACGCGAUGAACCAAACAAAACGUGCCGUAAAACCAAACCUUCAAAAAGUUACUGUUCUUAUCGAUGGUAAACCUAAAAAAGUUUGGGCUUCAGCUCGUGCUUUGAAAUCAGGUAAAGUUGAACGCGUUUAAUAAUAAAAGCAAAGGAGACCUUAGGGUCU
Molecule: ribosomal RNA, 1409 nt
Filed under: Streptococcus pneumoniae
Lineage: Bacteria; Bacillati; Bacillota; Bacilli; Lactobacillales; Streptococcaceae
Description: bacterial SSU rRNA
Rfam family: Bacterial small subunit ribosomal RNA (bases 2-881)
Source: RNAcentral